GACGAACGCUGGCGGCGUGCUUAACACAUGCAAGUCGAACGGUGAAGGGACCGGUUUUUGCUGGUUCUGGAUGAGUGGCGAACGGGUGAGUAACACGUGAGUAACCUGCCCCCUUCUUCUGGAUAACCGCAUGAAAGUGUGGCUAAUACGGGAUAUUCUGCGCCUGCUGCAUGGUGGGUGUGGGAAAGAUAUUGUUUCGGUGGGGGAUGGGCUCGCGGCCUAUCAGCUUGUUGGUGGGGUGAUGGCCUACCAAGGCGGUGACGGGUAGCCGGCCUGAGAGGGUGGACGGUCACACUGGGACUGAGACGCGGCCCAGACUCCUACGGGGGGCAGCAGUGGGGAAUAGUGCACAAUGGGCGCAAGCCUGAUGCAGCGACGCCGCGGGAGGGAUGGAGGCCUUCGGGUUGUAAACCUCUUUCGCCAGUGAAGCAGGCCUGUCCCUUUUGUGGGUGGGUUGACGGUAGCUGGAUAAGAAGCGCCGGCUAACUACGUG
Molecule: ribosomal RNA, 493 nt
Filed under: uncultured bacterium
Lineage: Bacteria
Description: partial 16S ribosomal RNA
Rfam family: Bacterial small subunit ribosomal RNA
Source: RNAcentral